Long non-coding RNA from Haliotis rubra (blacklip abalone), 235 nucleotides. RefSeq lists it as uncharacterized. The record is from RefSeq and is a predicted model, not a curated record. Lineage: Eukaryota; Metazoa; Mollusca; Gastropoda; Lepetellida; Haliotidae. The transcript is spliced from 2 exons.
GCACAUACAAUAUGCCAGUAUUAACACGUAUUAUCAUGGCUCGUUGGCACAUACAACAUCCAAUACUCACAUGUAUUAUCAUGGCUCACCAGCACAUACAAUCUGUCAGUACUCACCAGUAUUAUCAUGGCUCGUCAGAAGACACAAUAUACCAGUACUCACACGUAUUAUCAUGGUUCACCAGCACAUACAAUAUGUCAGUACUCACAUGUAUUAUCAUGGUUCAUCAGCACAU